Molecule: ribosomal RNA, 926 nt
Filed under: Pratylenchus penetrans
Lineage: Eukaryota; Metazoa; Nematoda; Chromadorea; Rhabditida; Pratylenchidae
Description: SSU rRNA
Rfam family: Eukaryotic small subunit ribosomal RNA
Source: RNAcentral
AAAGAUUAAGCCAUGCAUGUAUAAGUAUAAACGCUUUAAGCGUGAAACCGCGAACGGCUCAUUACAACAGCUAUAAUUUACUUGAUCUUGACAAACUUACAUGGAUAACUGAGGUAAUUCUUGAGCUAAUACAUGCACCAAAGCUUUGACCGUAAGGGAAGAGCGCAUUUAUUAGAACAAAACCAAACGGCUUCGGCUGUUCCCAGUUGAAUCAGAAUAACUCAGCUGAUCGUACGGUCUUGCACCGACGACGUGUCUUUCAAGUAUCUGCUUUAUCAACUUUCGAUGGUAGGGUAUCUGCCUACCAUGGUGGUGACGGAUAACGGAGGAUCAGGGUUCGACUCCGGAGAAGGGGCCUGAGAAAUGGCCACUACGUCUAAGGAUGGCAGCAGGCGCGCAAAUUACCCACUCUCAGAAUUUGGAGGAGGUAGUGACGAGAAAUAACGAGGUUGAUCUCUUCUGAGGCCAACCAUCGGAAUGGGUACAAUUUAAACCCUUUAACGAGUAUCUAUGAGAGGGCAAGUCUGGUGCCAGCAGCCGCGGUAAUUCCAGCUCUCAAAAUGCAUAGAAUUAUUGCUGCGGUUAAAAAGCUCGUAGUUGGAUCUGCAGCCGGAGCUCUGGUCCAUCUUCGGAUGUGUACUGGAUGUCCCCGGCUUUCUGACAGUGUUCGGCUCUGUGCCUCUAACCAGGUGUGGAUGUCCGAUACUGUAAGUUUACUUUGAAUAAAUCAGAGCGCUCUAAACAGGCGUUUUGCUUGAAUGAUUGUGCAUGGAAUAAUAGAAGAGGAUUUCGGUUCUAUUUUAUUGGUUUUAUAGACUGAGAUAAUGGUUAACAGAGACAAACGGGGGCAUUUGUAUGGCUACGUGAGAGGUGAAAUUCUUGGACCGUAGCCAGACAAACUACAGCGAAAGCAUUUGCCAAGAAUG